Molecule: long non-coding RNA, 592 nt
Filed under: Mytilus galloprovincialis (Mediterranean mussel)
Lineage: Eukaryota; Metazoa; Mollusca; Bivalvia; Mytilida; Mytilidae
Source: RNAcentral
CUCCAAUCUGCGAUGCGCCCUGCCAGAAAAAAAAGAAAAGACAACAUUAGACAUACACAAAGGUCUUAACAGAAAACAUACCUGGGAAUCCUCAAUCUGCGUCACGCCCUGCUAAAAAAAAAAAAAAGGCCACACGACCUAAAGGAAAAAAAAAGAACCAUUAGACAUACACAAAGGUCUUAACAGAAAACAUACCUGAAAUCCUCAAUCUGCGUCGCGCCCUGCUAGAAAAAAAGAAAAGGCAACAUUAGACAUACACAAAGGUCUUAACAGAAAACAUACCUGAAAAUCCUCAAUCUGCGUCACGCCCUGCUAGAAAAAAAGAAAAGGCGAAAUUAGACAUUCACAAAGGUCUUAACAGAAAACAUACCUGAAAAUCCUCAAUCUGCGUCGCGCCCUGCUAGAAAAAAAAGAAAAGACAACAUUAGACAUACACAAAGGUCUUAACAGAAAACAUACCUGGAAUUCCUCAAUCUGCGUCGCGACCUGCUAGAAAAAAAGAAAAGACAACAUUAGACAUACACAAAGGUCUUAACAGAAAACAUACCUGGAAUCCUCAAUCUGCGUCGCGCCCUGCUAGAAAAAAAGAAAA